UGGCAGGUCAGCAGAGAGGGAGUCUCCUUGCCUCAUCCUAGCUGCAGCUCGCUGAGUCCUCCUCUUCCUCCUGGAGAUGCCAUCCUUUCCAGAAACUCCUGGACAUGGCCAGAGGAGAGUGGAUUCCCAGGUGAUGAACAGGGCAGACAGAAGGAAAAACUGAAGAGCCAGACCCAGGAAGAAAACAGCACAACAAACAUGAGUGGGUGACUCCUGAGGAGAGCAGUAUCAAAACCACAGCCAAACAGGAGCAUUGUAGAUCUGGGAGCGUGAACGUCCAAGGAAGAUGUGCAGAACAAGGUGCCGUACUUCAACAGCACCUGUCAGUCUACCCCUGAAGAUAAAGUGACGGCUGCUAUGUGAUCCACCUGCAAACGCGGCUCUGCAGGAUCCCAUUGGUGUCCCAAAGUGCUGGCAGUGAGCCAGCACUUAAGAGCCCAGUUGGCACCAUACCACCUUUAUUCCCAGAAAUUCGUGAGCAUCUGUACUCUUCCUGGUUUAUGUACUGAGCAUGACGUCACAUGGUAUGGAACACCCCUUUGGUCAGUUGGGUUCAGGCUGUGUCCCCUCACAACUUCUUAUGCACCCUAGCCUGGUCGCUGUUGGAGUGCCGUAAGGAGCAGAAAACGCCUUGAGUCUCUGUAUUUCCUGACAAUGAAUUUGGGAGCCUUUGUUCUACAGAAAGUCAAAUAUCUACUGUAUGCCUUCAGAGAUCUACAUGCACAGGCUCUGUAAAAGAAAGAGUACACAGAAUUUCUCAGGGCAUGUCAGCUUUUAUGAGACCGAGCAUCUCUUCAGUAACAAGAGAAGCAAAUGGAACAAGACAUGGCAGGAGUAUAUACUUGUCAAGUGGAGGAAAUAGCACAAGUGCCUGCCACAAAGCCACCUCAGCCCCACGACCGCCUGUAUGGCUGGAAGAGACAACAGCUUAAACCAAUAGUGCUUAAAGCGGUGAUGCACAGGAAAGACUCAAUAAAUCUUUGGAGCAGCACAAGGUCUAAGAAAAAUUUUCUUUGCUUUUGUUUGGUCUUGGCUCACUUUGCC
Molecule: long non-coding RNA, 1044 nt
Organism: Chroicocephalus ridibundus (black-headed gull)
Lineage: Eukaryota; Metazoa; Chordata; Aves; Charadriiformes; Laridae
Exons: 5
Source: RefSeq, a predicted model, not a curated record